This 429-nucleotide ribosomal RNA is filed under the name Gemmatimonadota bacterium. RNAcentral's name for it is "Gemmatimonadetes bacterium partial 16S ribosomal RNA". It matches the Rfam family "Bacterial small subunit ribosomal RNA", at positions 355 to 776 of the family's 1533-position model. Lineage: Bacteria; Pseudomonadati; Gemmatimonadota. The record is from RNAcentral.
UAGGGAAUCUGCGGCAAUGGACGAAAGUCUGACCGAGCAACGAAGCGUGAGUGAAGAAGGUUGUCGGAUCGUAAAACUCUGUUGUUAGAGAAGAACAAGGACGUUAGUAACUGAACGUCACCUGACGGUAUCUAACCAGAAAGCCACGGCUAACUACGUGCCAGCAGCCGCGGUAAUACGAAGGUGGCAAGCGUUGUCCGGAGUUGUUGGGCGUAAAGCGAGGGAAGGAGGUUUCUUAAGUCUGAUGUGAAAGCCCCCGGAUCAAACGGGGAGGGUCAUUGGAAACUGGGAGAAUUGAGUGCAGAAGAGGAGAGUGGAAUUCCAUGUGUAGCAGUGAAAUGCGUAGAUAGAUGGAGGAAAACCAGUGGCGAAGGCGGCUCUCUGGUCUGUAACUGAAGCUGAGGCUCGAAAGCGUGGGGAGCAAACAGG